CCCUCGGAGCGUUAUAUCAAACGAAAGUAGUUUUAGUGAGAACUAAUACAAAAUCGGGCGCGAUGAAUUGGGAA
RNAcentral lists this non-coding RNA (74 nucleotides) under unclassified sequences. RNAcentral's name for it is "RAGATH-18 RNA". It matches the Rfam family "RAGATH-18 RNA". Rfam says of the family: Actinobacteria, Firmicutes, Fusobacteria, Thermotogae (1 example). Nearby to self-cleaving ribozyme genes The record is from Rfam by way of RNAcentral.